UACGGGAGAUGCAAGCGUUGUUCGGAAUCACUGGGCUUAAAGCGCGUGUAGGCGGUUCGGUAAGUACCUUGUGAAAGCCCUCCUCUCAAUGGAGGAAUUGCUUGGUAUACUGCCAGACUUGAGGCAGGUAGGGGUGCCUGGAACUCUAGGUGGAGCGGUGAAAUGCGUAGAUAUCUAGAGGAACGCCCGUGGCGAAAGCGGGGCACUGGGCCUGUACUGACGCUGAGACGCGAAAGCGUGGGUAGCAAACGGG
This 253-nucleotide ribosomal RNA is filed under the name uncultured bacterium. RNAcentral's name for it is "partial 16S ribosomal RNA". It matches the Rfam family "Bacterial small subunit ribosomal RNA", at positions 524 to 776 of the family's 1533-position model. The record is from RNAcentral.